UGCCAGUCUCCUCCGGGAAGGGCCUCUCUUUCCAUUCCUACAGCUCCCCCUCCUCGAGACCCCGGGAGGCCCAGCCUCCCCAAUCCGAGCCCCCCCCCCAGCUCCGAAGACCCCCGCGGAGCAAGGAAGAGGCCUCCGCAGAAUGAAUGCCUGGAAAAGAGGUUUUAAAUCUGUCUGCACCCCAAGGAAAAGGCCUCACUCAGAGCAGCGUCCCUGCCUCACCUCGUCUAACAAGCCUCUACCUUCCCGGUGGGCACUGCCGCUCACCGCCCUAGGCCGGGUCCACCGGGACAGUUGGGCGGAGGCAACUAGCACUGCUGUGGAAUUGUUCAUUCUUGAGGAACUCAGGAGAAGACACAAAGAGGCUAGAGACCGGGCUCUGUCCAGGUCAUAGCCCCUCACAGAGCAAGGACAUGGCAAGAUGUAAAGAGCAUAGGAAGGUCUUGAGUGGGGACAAAAAAAAUGUGCCAUCAAUAUUAAAAUCACACCAAGAGAACAUCCCCUUGGCUGGAGACAAUUCAAAGAGCCUCCCCUGGGAGAGGUCAUCCUAUCAUGGUCCUUGGUGGGAAAUGGCUGAAGAUAAACCUUCAUGGAGUCCAAAGUACAGGAAGGAAGUGACAAAGGACAGAAAGGAAGCAGAAGACACUGAGAAUCUACACCAAGGGAAGGGGCCCCAGGAACUGGAGGAAGGAGCAGAAAUGGAAGGAUCAAGGUACCACAAAGCCACCAUGUCACCUGGGAGCAGGAGAGUGGUCCUCACUCAGUGCGGCCCACACUGAACUGCACAAGAGUCUGUGGAUGAGGUAGGUGAGGUCCCCGCCCACAUAGUGCUUCUAAUCUAAUAUGGCAGACAGACCGAGUCCUCAAAUAAGAGAGAUCCGUGGAAAAGGACCUGCAAAGGGUGGUCAGGGAUCAAGGGAAGGAGAAAUUAUGUUCUGGAAGAGGAGACAGAAUUUGUAUCAGGCCUUGGGAGUGAUGGAAAUGGGAAGAAAGGCCCACCAGGGGCAUGAAGUUCCUGAGCUAAGGCACAGAGAAAGAUUUCAGAAAAUCUUGGACUUGGCAGCAGUGAGGGUAAAUGGGUUAAUGAUCAAUCCAUUCACUAAGGCACCAGACAUCCCCAAGAGGUGCUAGACACUCAGAGCAGGGAAGGAGAAAGAUACAGUCACUGAUCUCAUUGUAGUGGUAGGAAAAAGGUAACAGACCUAUCAACAAAUAAGACUGGCUCAAUUGGAUAGGUGCUCAGAGGACACUAAAGGAAGAUCGUAUUUUAGAAAGUAACUGGGCCUCCUUUAGAUACAAUGUCAAGGAACUAAGGUUCUAAGAAGGGAACAUUUUAGAGGAAGCCUAAAUGGCAAGAAAAAGCCAGCCUCUCCAGGGCAUCCAGACAGAGGCAACAUCCGGUGCAAAGGCCCUGAGGCAGAAGCAGCCCUGCAUAGUCCCACAGGUGGAGGGCAACCAGUGAGUAAAGUAUGUAGGAAGCAAUGAAUGUUCAGGCCCAGUCAUGCAGGACCUGAUAGGCUAUGGUGAAAUGUUGGACUUUAUUUCGAUAGGAAGCCAUGAGAAGACAUUAAAAGAAAGAAUAGGAUGGUCUGUUGUUUAUGAGUCAAAUCUUCCACAGGCCUCUCUGAGGAAAAUGGGAGGUGCAAGAGAGGAAAUAGGAGCCCCAGCAAUAGGCUACCAUGGUAGUUCUGGUAGGAGGCAGCUGGUCAUGGGUGGACACAGCCA
RNAcentral lists this long non-coding RNA (1725 nucleotides) under Heterocephalus glaber (naked mole-rat). RNAcentral's name for it is "lncRNA (ENSHGLG00100047052.1)". Lineage: Eukaryota; Metazoa; Chordata; Mammalia; Rodentia; Bathyergidae. The record is from RNAcentral.